ACAUCGGUAGCUCAGUUGGUAGAGCGUCGGUCUCCAAAACCGAAAGUCGUAGGUUCGAGCCCUACCCGGUGUGCCG
Molecule: transfer RNA, 76 nt
Filed under: Spirosoma sp. KCTC 42546
Lineage: Bacteria; Pseudomonadati; Bacteroidota; Cytophagia; Cytophagales; Cytophagaceae
Description: tRNA-Trp
Rfam family: tRNA
About the family: Transfer RNA (tRNA) molecules are approximately 80 nucleotides in length. Their secondary structure includes four short double-helical elements and three loops (D, anti-codon, and T loops). Further hydrogen bonds mediate the characteristic L-shaped molecular structure. tRNAs have two regions of fundamental functional importance: the anti-codon, which is responsible for specific mRNA codon recognition, and the 3' end, to which the tRNAs corresponding amino acid is attached (by aminoacyl-tRNA synthetases). tRNAs cope with the degeneracy of the genetic code in two manners: having more than one tRNA (with a specific anti-codon) for a particular amino acid; and 'wobble' base-pairing, i.e. permitting non-standard base-pairing at the 3rd anti-codon position.
Source: RNAcentral